GGCCCUUUAACGCAAUGAAUAAAUAGCGUGUUGGACUUCUAAUCCAAAGGUCAUGGGCUCAAAUCCUACAUGGGAUG
Molecule: non-coding RNA, 77 nt
Organism: Trichonephila inaurata madagascariensis
Lineage: Eukaryota; Metazoa; Arthropoda; Arachnida; Araneae; Nephilidae
Source: the annotation of a GenBank genome assembly